AAGUCGUAACAAGGUCUCCGUAGGUGAACCUGCGGAGGGAUCAUUAACACGUUUCAACAACGUACCCACCAAACCAAUGGAAACGCGAGUCGAGUCUCUCGGCUCAGUUCUCUCCCUUCUGUCUGCUGCAGCAAUGAUUGCUGCAUGUAUUCAGCAAGGCUUUCUCCUUCUUAACUGACCCCUUUCCAACUUCAAUGCUUGCUGCUGAGUACUAUGUGAAAGUAGUGUUUGGUGUGUGUGGUGUUGUUCCUAACUGUCCUGUAUUCUAUGUGCUCCUAGCUAUGCUUAGCUAUGCUGGCGAGCAGAUAGUUGAUAUUUAAUGCAAAGCACAACUCUUAGCAACGGAUAUCUUGGUUCUC
This 359-nucleotide unclassified non-coding RNA is filed under the name fungal sp. RNAcentral describes it as "partial internal transcribed spacer region". The stretch from base 1 to 46 matches the Rfam family "Eukaryotic small subunit ribosomal RNA", at positions 1786 to 1831 of the family's 1831-position model. The record is from RNAcentral. Lineage: Eukaryota; Fungi.